Molecule: long non-coding RNA, 801 nt
Filed under: Homo sapiens (human)
Lineage: Eukaryota; Metazoa; Chordata; Mammalia; Primates; Hominidae
Description: HSALNT0311534
Source: RNAcentral
CCUGCACCAUCCUCGCUGUCACAGUGCCUGAUGCCCCAAAACUGGAAGUGUGCCUGCCAUUGCCUUUCCCUGCCUGGUUUCCAGCAGUCCCAUCACAUGGCUCCAAAAAACAGCAUCGGGGUUUUUUUCUAGAACCCAAAUUUAUAAACAAGGGGCAAUGUCCUCUGACAAGGAAAUGGACCUUGGCAAACGUGUGUCAGGAGAGGAUGACUUGGAGGUGUCCACCGUGUUUCUUACUGAAGAUGUCUAAAAGUCAAUUGGGGUCAAGGAACAAGCCUCUACUCACAUGCAUGUGGGCAAAUGAAGUCACAGAACAAAUAACCUACCCUGCAUCCAGGCACGGAGUCCAGGGACACCCCCUGCUGCUGCCUAAGAGAAAGUGGCCCAAGAAGCACUGGCCCGGUGCCUGCUGAUGCCAGGAGCCCUCUGCUACUGCCUGACACAAGCAUCCUGCGCUUCCCCCUCCCAGGCCCUCCCCGAAAGCGUGGGCCACAGGUACCACUCCCUAUGCCACUGAGCCCCACAUUUCCCAUCCCCCAAGCCACUCCCACCAGCCCCAGAGCUUUCCUACAUUUAUGAUUUGUCCAAAAAUGUGAUGCCCUUCAGCCCCCAGAAGGUCAUCCUCCAGGCUGUGAUCGUCACACAGGGGGUCCCACAUGGGGUCCUCACAGGCCUUCAACCCAGCACAAAUCGUGGCCUGGUUUGACCUUUGAAAUAUCUCAACAUCUAAAAUUCAGAGCUUUUUUGGAAUAUUUAUUUUCCAUAGAUAUAAUUCUUUCAAAUAAAUUCCUUAGAAAACAA